Molecule: long non-coding RNA, 1464 nt
Filed under: Canis lupus familiaris (dog)
Lineage: Eukaryota; Metazoa; Chordata; Mammalia; Carnivora; Canidae
Description: lncRNA (ENSCAFG00040007468.1)
Source: RNAcentral
GAAAACUUCAGCGUCACGAGGAAUGAAGCCGUCAAACCAAGGCUGCCAAGGCCACGCACACAGGGCGCACCUGAGCUCCCGUCGCCGCCGCCGGCCCGCGGGGGGCGACCGUGGGGGACGAGGCCAGCCCGCGCUUCCCAGCCCAGAGCCAGGGCCGCGGCGGGCCUCCGGCCUCGCUCCCCACACACCCGCCAGGGCCCGUCUUCCCCUGCCCCGGGAUUAACGCGGCUAUUUUCAUUCAAACACUCACAGCCGCUGGAGUCACGCGGAGGUGCCAAGCGUCCGUGUGUCCCGGGGGCCCGGGCCGCGGGCUCGGGGGAGGCGGGGCGGGAGGGACGCCCACGCCCACGCCCCGCCCCCGCCGUCCCCUUCGCGCGGCAGGACACCGGGGGCCUCGGUGCUGCGGGCGGGCCACGGCGGCGGCGCACGGGCGCGCGUCACCACGGCCCACGUCACCACGGCCGUGACCCCGGGCCGCGCGGAGGAGCCACGCGGAGGAGCCGCGAGCUGCACCGCCCCGGCCGCCCGCGUCGCUCGCCGCACCCUCGGGCACGGUGGCCUCGGCCCCCUGCGCCCCCCCCCCCCCCCCCGCCCCGGGGUCCGGGCGCCGCCGCGGGAGGCCGAGCGCGUGGGCGGAGACCUUCCCGAGGCGGCUUUCCGGGGGGAACACGGCCCUUGUCAGACGGAACCGCGGGGCAGAGCGUUCGCAGGGAGGGACCGCAGCGGGGCGCCGAGGGCCGCGACACCCGGCGACCCCUGCCGGCCCCCGAGGGCGAGACGGAGGCGGAGGGGGAGAGGGAGGGGGAGGGCGAGGCGGGGGCGGGGGCGGGGCUCAGGGCGCGCUCGGACAGCCCGGGCCUUCCGCGGCCCCCCUGCCCCGCUGGGCACGAGCCCCCAGGUCCCGGCCGCCUCCCUCCCCGCUCACCUGCCUCCGCCCCCGGACCUCCGCCCCCCGCCGGGCCCCCACCCGCGUCCACCAGACUCCCCGGGGGGACCCGAGCUGGCGAUGCCGUCACGUCAGGCCCGGGGCUUCUCAGGCUCUUCCCCAAGGCGGCGGGUGCCCCCAAGGCCCGGGGUUCCGUGGGGCCGGCAGGCCCGCGGGGGGGGCGCUGGCGGUCGGCCCUCCCGCCCCUGCAAGGCGGCUGCCCCGAGGGGAGGGCGAGGCGUCGUGGCCACCGUGGGGCUGCGUGGGUCCCCCCUGGGCCGGUCCCCCCCUGCCUCCACCUGGUGGCCCCGCCGCAGGGCGGGUCGGUCCCACUCCAGAAGGGAGCCUGCCCCCACUCGGUGAGGACCAGGGCUCUGUCCCUGCGGGGCCGGGGCCGGUCCGGGUCCGGGUCCGGGUCCCGCGGGUGGAGACCCAGCAGGAGGUCAGAGAAGAGGCUGCAGGAGCAGCAGCCCCGAAGCCUCCAGCCUCCAGCCUCCGGCCUCCGAACCUCCAGCCCCACCAGGACUGCUGUUUCAUAA